Molecule: ribosomal RNA, 421 nt
Filed under: uncultured bacterium
Lineage: Bacteria
Description: bacterial SSU rRNA
Rfam family: Bacterial small subunit ribosomal RNA
Source: RNAcentral
CUGGCGGCACGCCUAACACAUGCAAGUCGAACGAAGUAGCAAUACUUAGUGGCAGACGGGUGAGUAACAUGUAGGUAUCUACCCUUUGGCCUGGAAUAACACGAGGAAACUUGUGCUAAUACCGGAUAAGUCUUUACGGAGAAAGCUUUAUGCACCAUUGGAUGAGCCUGCACUUGAUUAGUUUGUUGGUGGGGUAAUGGCCUACCAAGACUGUGAUCAAUAGCUGAUUUGAGAGGAUGAUCAGCCACAUUGGGACUGAGACACGGCCCAAACUCCUACGGGAGGCAGCAGUGGGGAAUCUUGCACAAUGGAGGAAACUCUGAUGCAGCGAUGCCGCGUGAGUGAAGAAGGCCUUUGGGUUGUAAAGCUCUUUCGUCGGGGAAGAAAAUGACUGUACCCGAAUAAGAAGGUCCGGCUAACU